GAUGAACGCUGGCGGCGUGCCUAAUACAUGCGAGUCGAGCGAACAGACGAGGAGCUUGCUCCUCUGACGUUAGCGGCGGACGGGUGAGUAACACGUGGAUAACCUACCUAUAAGACUGGGAUAACUUCGGGAAACCGGAGCUAAUACCGGAUAAUAUAUUGAACCGCAUGGUUCAAUAGUGAAAGACGGUUUUGCUGUCACUUAUAGAUAGAUCCGCGCCGCAUUAGCUAGUUGGUAAGGUAACGGCUUACCAAGGCAACGAUGCGUAGCCGACCUGAGAGGGUGAUCGGCCACACUGGAACUGAGACACGGUCCAGACUCCUACGGGAGGCAGCAGUAGGGAAUCUUCCGCAAUGGGCGAAAGCCUGACGGAGCAACGCCGCGUGAGUGAUGAAGGUCUUCGGAUCGUAAAACUCUGUUAUUAGGGAAGAACAAAUGUGUAAGUAACUAUGCACGUCUUGACGGUACCUAAUCAGAAAGCCACGGCUAACUACGUG
This 497-nucleotide ribosomal RNA is filed under the name uncultured bacterium. RNAcentral's name for it is "partial 16S ribosomal RNA". It matches the Rfam family "Bacterial small subunit ribosomal RNA", at positions 28 to 507 of the family's 1533-position model. The record is from RNAcentral.